GAUGAACGCUGGCGGCGUGCCUAAUACAUGCAAGUCGAGCGAACGGACGAGAAGCUUGCUUCUCUGAUGUUAGCGGCGGACGGGUGAGUAACACGUGGAUAACCUACCUAUAAGACUGGGAUAACUUCGGGAAACCGUAGCUAAUACCGGAUAAUAUUUUGAACCGCAUGGUUCAAAAGUGAAAGACGGUCUUGCUGUCACUUAUAGAUGGAUCCGCGCUGCAUUAGCUAGUUGGUAAGGUAACGGCUUACCAAGGCAACGAUGCAUAGCCGACCUGAGAGGGUGAUCGGCCACACUGGAACUGAGACACGGUCCAGACUCCUACGGGAGGCAGCAGUAGGGAAUCUUCCGCAAUGGGCGCAAGCCUGACGGAGCAACGCCGCGUGAGUGAUGAAGGUCUUCGGAUCGUAAAACUCUGUUAUUAGGGAAGAACAUAUGUGUAAGUAACUGUGCACAUCUUGACGGUACCUAAUCAGAAAGCCACGGCUAACUACGUG
Molecule: ribosomal RNA, 497 nt
Filed under: uncultured bacterium
Lineage: Bacteria
Description: partial 16S ribosomal RNA
Rfam family: Bacterial small subunit ribosomal RNA
Source: RNAcentral